GAUGAAGAACGUAGCGAAAUGCGAUAAGUAAUGCGAAUUGCAGAAUUCCGUGAGUCAUCGAAUCUUUGAACGCACAUUGCGCCCUCUGGUAUUCCGGAGGGCAUGCCUGUCUGAGCGUCAUUGUCAACCCUCAAGCUCAGCUUGCUGUUGGGUCCCCGUCGUUGCUUUAACGGCGGACCCGAAAGGUAAUGGCAGAGUCCGUGAGACCCUAGACGCAGCGAGCUUCUAGCACGCGUCUGGACGUUUUUCGGGCUCGGUCUUAACUAGAUGAUAACUUCCGAUUGACCUCAGAUCAGGUAGGGAUACCCGCUGAACUUAAGCAUAUCAAUAGGCGGAGGA
RNAcentral lists this unclassified non-coding RNA (339 nucleotides) under soil metagenome. RNAcentral's name for it is "partial contains 5.8S ribosomal RNA, internal transcribed spacer 2, and large subunit ribosomal RNA". The stretch from base 1 to 120 matches the Rfam family "5.8S ribosomal RNA", at positions 35 to 154 of the family's 154-position model. The record is from RNAcentral.